GAUGAACGCUGGCGGCGUGCUUAACACAUGCAAGUCGAACGAUGAAGCCCAGCUUGCUAGGUGGAUUAGUGGCGAACGGGUGAGUAACACGUGAGUAACCUGCCCUUAACUCUGGGAUAAGCCUGGGAAACUGGGUCUAAUACCGGAUAGGAGCGCCUACCGCAUGGUGGGUGUUGGAAAGAUUUAUCGGUUUUGGAUGGACUCGCGGCCUAUCAGCUUGUUGGUGAGGUAAUGGCUCACCAAGGCGACGACGGGUAGCCGGCCUGAGAGGGUGACCGGCCACACUGGGACUGAGACACGGCCCAGACUCCUACGGGAGGCAGCAGUGGGGAAUAUUGCACAAUGGGCGAAAGCCUGAUGCAGCGACGCCGCGUGAGGGAUGACGGCCUUCGGGUUGUAAACCUCUUUCAGUAGGGAAGAAGCGAAAGUGACGGUACCUGCAGAAGAAGCACCGGCUAACUACGUG
Molecule: ribosomal RNA, 466 nt
Filed under: uncultured bacterium
Lineage: Bacteria
Description: partial 16S ribosomal RNA
Rfam family: Bacterial small subunit ribosomal RNA
Source: RNAcentral